RNAcentral lists this ribosomal RNA (467 nucleotides) under uncultured bacterium. RNAcentral describes it as "partial 16S ribosomal RNA". It matches the Rfam family "Bacterial small subunit ribosomal RNA", at positions 28 to 506 of the family's 1533-position model. The record is from RNAcentral.
GACGAACGCUGGCGGCGUGCUUAACACAUGCAAGUCGAACGGAAAGGCCCUGCUUUUGUGGGGUGCUCGAGUGGCGAACGGGUGAGUAACACGUGAGUAACCUGCCCUUGACUUUGGGAUAACAUCAGGAAACUGGGGCUAAUACCGGAUAGGAGCUCCUGCUGCAUGGUGGGGGUUGGAAAGUUUCGGCGGUUGGGGAUGGACUCGCGGCUUAUCAGCUUGUUGGUGGGGUAGUGGCUUACCAAGGCUUUGACGGGUAGCCGGCCUGAGAGGGUGACCGGCCACAUUGGGACUGAGAUACGGCCCAGGCUCCUACGGGAGGCAGCAGUGGGGAAUAUUGCACAAUGGGCGGAAGCCUGAUGCAGCAACGCCGCGUGCGGGAUGACGGCCUUCGGGUUGUAAACCGCUUUCGCCUGUGACGAAGCGUGAGUGACGGUAAUGGGUAAAGAAGCACCGGCUAACUACGU